Molecule: long non-coding RNA, 5357 nt
Organism: Neoarius graeffei (lesser salmon catfish)
Lineage: Eukaryota; Metazoa; Chordata; Actinopteri; Siluriformes; Ariidae
Exons: 9
Source: RefSeq, a predicted model, not a curated record
UGCAAACUUUAAGAACAAGCUGAGGUGAAGUUUACAGGAAUGACAGAAGACAUGGUGUGGAAGUCAAGUGCUAGAAGUAGUGUCAAUAUGAAACAACGCUACCUGUGAUCAAGAAGAGGCACUGAAUUCAACCUUCACCUUGUGAGUGAUAUAAUUGGCAAAUUUCCUCCUGACCACAUGACAAGUUCUGCAGAAUCGCCAGCAUCAGGGGCACCCAGGAACUCAAGAAGUUGCUCCCCAUCACCGAGGGUGUCCAGGGUCAUUGAAAAUUGCACCCCAGCAGCUAGGGUGUCCAGGGAUGAGACAUGUCCCGGCACCUAGGGCGUCAAGGGAGAAUAGUCUCGUCCCUACACCUAGAUCGCCCAGGGACAACAGCCGUACCCUGGCACCUAGGGUGUUCAGGGAUGAGAGGUGGAACCUGGCACCUAGGGCGUUCAGGGACAAGAGGCACACUCCUGCACCAAGGACAUCCAGAGAUGAGGGGUGCACCCUGGCCCAUAUGUUAUGGGACAUGCCCACUCCCAGGACCUCAAGAAUGCAGGAAACUCUGGAUAUAUAUCCCAUGAGUGUAGCUAUUCCAGAAAAGUCAUUCAGCUGCUGGUACAAAUCUGCAAUGGUGUGAACAAUAUAGCCUCCCAGCAGUCUGAAUCUUCCCAUCAGAACAUGGAGCCCCCCGUGACAUUUGAUACAUGUGACACUCUGGCUGAUCUGGAAAUACUGGAAGAGCAGUUAAGUGAUCGCACCAUGAAGGACAAUUUGGCGAAAUGCGUGUUGGUGGAGUGAAAAUCAGCAUCAUUGUGCAAGCAAUAUUGAACAGGGUGUUGUCCAACAAGGUCAUGUCUCUUUAAUCUGAAAGGCAACGAGGGAAAAAUGGCUUUUAUUGACCUGAAUCUUUACAGAGUUGUGCAAGAGACGGUGUCCUGGCUACACACAGUGGUGCCACUGAAGCAGAGGUGUGUUCGUGCAUCAGUUCCCACCUCAAAUAUGCACCAGACAGGCGAGGAGGUGGAGGCCGAAAGCCAUGAUUGACAUGUAAAGAACAGAAUAAAAAUAAACUCCUGUCCAACAGUGGCCAAGAAUGGUGUGUGGCUCGCAUUGUGACCACGCUGCAGGAUGGACGAGUGCCUUGUCUAUGCAAUCUCAACCCUUAUCCUGUGGAGGUUCCUCAGUGGCAGCUACUGGCAGAAGUGACAAAUGACCGCGACUGACAUCCAGGGGGAACGAGAGCUCGUCAUCCACAGCAUGGCGACAGAUGUCAUGGAGGUCGAGGGAGAUGGGCUGAUUCCUGCCCAGCAGGGGGAGAUGACCAAUCUGUUGUAGAAGUGGGUGAAGGUGUUUUCCAGUCAUGAUGAAGACUUCGGCUGUACUGGUGUUGUAAGGCAUCAAAUACCGACUGGGUCAGCGCCCCUGAGCCGGGAGAGAUACCGACCAGUGCUGCCUAGUCUCUAUACAGAGCUGAGAUCCCUAUUGCAGAACAUGCUGGACAAUGGUGUGGUGAGCAAGAGUGCAAGCCCUUGGGCUGCUCCAAUUGUCCUUGUUAAGAAAAAAGAUGGGAGCUGGUGCUUCUGUGUAGACUAUAGGAAGUUAAAUGCCCUCAUGCAUAAAGAUGCUUAUCCAUUGCCACGCAUUGAGGAAUCGUUGACUGGACUUAAAGCUGCUGAGUGGUACUCCACAUUAGACUUGGUGAGUGGCUACUGGCAAGUAGAGAUGCAUCUUCUAGAUGGAGAAAAGACUGCCUUCACAACUCCCUGUGGCCUAUGAGUUCAACCGCAUGCCAUUUGGAUUAUGUAACGUUCCGGCUACUUUCCAAAGAUUAAUGCAGCGUUGCCUAGGAAACUUCACAAAUGAUUCAUUGCUUAUUUACCUUGAUGUGGUAGUGUUUUUCUCCUGAUUUUAGUAGCCACUUGUAUCACUUGGAAGAGGUAUUUCAACAUCUCCAUUAUCAUGGGUUGAAAUUACAGCUUAAAAAGUGCAGUCUGUUCCAGUGUCAGGUAACCUACCUUGGCCAUGUCAUCAGUGAGCAGGGUGUAGCCACCGACCCAGCUAAGACGGCAACAGUAAAGGAUUGGCCAGUCCCCCAGACUGUGAAGCAGGUAAAAUCCUUUCUUGGCUUCGCUGGCUAUUAUCGCCGGUUUAUACCUGCUUUUUCGAAAAUAGCAGCACCCUGAAUGCAGUGACUCGUGGUACUGCCACCCACAUAAAGGCUGCCUUCAUUGAUUGGUCACCAGAAUGCCAGCAGGCUUUUGAACACUUAAAGGAAGCCUUGCUUAGUGUGCCGGUCCUGGCUUAUGCAGACUUCUCCCAACCAUUUAGACUGUAUACAGAUGCCAGUUUGGAAGGUUUAGGGGCAGUAUUGGCCCAAGUACAGGGGGGUCAAGAAAGGGUAAUUGCAUAUGCCAGUCGAAGUCUGCAACCAACAGAGCGAAAUGACCAAAAUUAGUUCCUUUAAGUUAGUUAUUAGCCCUGAAAUGGGCAGUGACUGAAAAGUUUAAAGAUUACCUGUAUGGUGCUGAGUUCACGGUGUUCACAGAUAACCCAUUGGUGCACCUGGACACUGCUCGUCUGGGCGCAGUAGAGCAGCACUGGGUGUCACAGCUAGUGAACUUUAAGUACACAAAUAUAGACCAGGGACCCAGAACAGGAAUGCAGAUGCCUUGUCCAGGCUGCUAAACCCACAGGAACUGACGCUGGCUCAGACAGACCAUGUAGUGGUGGAGAAUGAGACCUGAGCAGAACGGCAGGCUCAAAAUCCAGAGCUGAACCAAAUGUGCCAGUGGAAGGAACAGCAAGUACCACCAGCUGAGGUGAGUGACCCUUUGCCUCCAUAUGUGAAGAGCUGUGCCGAGAAUGGGACCAAAUUUUGUUGCAAGAUGGUGUUUUGGGGAGGCUGCAUAGAGAGGUGGGGUCUGGAUUGGAGAUUUUCCAAGUCAUCAUCCCUGAGCAGGUUACUAAAGAGGUGUGGGAGACUUGCCAUCAGAGUAUGGGACAUCCCAGUGGUGAGCAGAUCCUGGCAACCCUGUGCCAGCGCUGCUACUGGCCGAGGAUGGUGCAGGAUGUGGAGUGGACAGCAACCUGCCCUCAAUGUGUCCUGGCGAAGGCCGGCCCAGAGGUAAAGGCACCUCUGGUGUCUAUUUUUACUACUUAUCCAUUUGAGGUCAUUGGGGUCGACUACCUUUCUUUGGGGUGGCCUGAGGAUAGAUUUUAGUAAUGACAGACCUAUUUUUCCAAAUACGCUCUUGCAGUGCCUACUGGAGAUCAGUCUGCCAACACGACUGCCCAAGCCUUGUAUGGCUACCUGAUUCAGAUAUUUGGCUGCCCGGAAAGAAUCCUGACUGACCGGGGGGCAACAUUUGAGUCCUCUAUGAUGAGGGAGCUUUGUCAGCUUUACGGAUGUCAGAAGAGCCACACUACAGCCUAUCACCCACAGGGGAAUGGUGCAUGUGAGAUUUAACCAGACCCUCUUGGGGUUGUUGAAUUCCCUGACUGAGGUCGAACAAACUCGGUGGUCGAAUCAGCUGCCUGCUCUGGUCCAGGCAUACAACACCACCCAUAGUACCACUGGGAUGACCCCCCCACUAUGUGGUCUUUGAGAGACAUGUUAGGUUACCUGUUGACUGGGCAACCGGCCUGAAGCCUGUGGCAGGGUCUCGUACCUUGUCAGGAUGGGUGAAGAGGCAUCAGGAGGCCCUCAGCUAUGCUUACCAGAUGGUGCAGACUCGAAUUCAACACAGACAGGACCUGGACCAGGCAAGGUACAACAAGCGAGCCAAGUUAGCACCUUUGUUCCCAGGAGAGCAGGUGCUGAUUCGUAACUUUCGUAGAAGGGUCAGAGACAAGUUGAACUUGAAGUGGGCACCAGAGCCAUUUGUGGUGGUUAGACAGUUGCGAGAGGGUCAUCUAGUCUAUGUAUUUUGGCCAGAAGGUAAAGAACAACCAACUCGCAUAGUACAUCGUAAUAACCUUUGACCUUGUCCCUUGAAUGUGUUGCAGAAUAACCAGGUGCCAGAUGAACCUAGGCCGGCGAUGAUUGACUGAUUGUCUGAACAAUCAAAUGCCUUGCCCCCUCCAACUUGGUGGCUACCGAGAUUGUCAGUAGGUGCCAACCAACAGCCAGUUACGAAUUUAGUGGGGCCAGCUCCGGCUCAUCCAUCUGACCCUUCAGUAGUAUCCAAGGCCUUGCCUGGUGAGUUAGAUCAGCCCAGUGUACAUCGUUCCCAGCAAGCUAAUCUGGGAGUAUUCCCAGCUAGGUACUGUUCGGAGUAAGUGGUUGGGACGAUCUCCAUUAAAGGGGGGGGGAAAUGUUAAAAGUAGAACUUCUUGCUGUGGUGUUUUGUGAUUCAUUGACCCAAAUGGUGUGCUGUUUCCUCGUGUGUGUGUGUGUGUGUGUGUGUGUGUGUGUGUGUGUGUGUGUGUGUGUGUUUUUUAAUUUGUUUCUUUGGGUUUAUGAUAUACACUGUGUGCAGUGAAUUUUGCUGUGUUUUCUGAUUAACAUUAUUUGCUGUGGGUUUGUGUGAUUGCAUAGCAACCAGCUGAUUAUUACAGCUAGCUGACUAUCCCCUCGGCCUAGCGUUUGCUGUGCGUGAGACUGCUUGAUUGAUGGACAGGUGUGUACCACAGAUUGUGACUGUGUAGGAGGAAGCAGACACAAUAAAAAAGGACACAUGCAGGCAGGAGGAGGGAAGACAAAGGGCUGGAGCAGGGUGCUUCGUCGUGAGAACCUGGACCCAGAGUCUUGAUUCAACGCAUACUAAAGCUAAGUAAAGGAAAGUCCACCUGCUGAUACUGGGUUGAGUGUUGCGUUAUUUGUGCCUGCGAUGUAUUUUUAUUUUUUAAUUUUUUUAUUUUUUCCUCCUUCCCCUCCUUCUAGCGCGUUGGCUGUAUGCAGUGAGCCUGUGAAAGACGAUUCAACAGAGCCUGGCGUGAAGCUUGGUCUGGUAAGCUGAAGUUGCUCGGCCUGUUUAGGAGGAGCAAGCCUACGGAAGCGAGAUGACAGUGGACGAAUGCGGAGUAUGACUCAACGCUCACGAAAGAUAAGUAAAGGAAAGUUGAUUAGUCUGCGUGUGUUUGUAUAAUAUAAUAUCCAGUGGGGUGUAGCCCUGACAGUCUUUCAUUGUUUGCCCAUAGUGUUUUGGAGUGAUUGGAGCUCACCUGCAAUAACAAGACAACUAGGCUGUCCCAACCUCAUGCUGAAUUAAACAGACUUGGACUUUUAUGCGUAGGCUUUUCUAUUGGACGGUGUCUGUAUCUUAUUGUUAUCCCCCUGCCAUGCUAACGGAUUGAAUAUUUUUUUUUUUAUGGACUACUUUUGUGCACGUUUUUGUGCAUUUUGUGUAACUUAAAUAAACUUGUUAAACUGC